UACGUAGGUGGCAAGCGUUGUCCGGAUUUAUUGGGCGUACAGCGAGCGCAGGCGGUUCCUUAAGUCUGAUGUGAAAACCCACGGCUCAACCGUGGAAGGUCAUUGGAAACUGGGGAACUUGAGUGCAGAAGAGGAGAGUGGAAUUCCAUGUGUAGCGGUGAAAUGCGUAGAUAUAUGGAGGAACACCAGUGGCGAAGGCGACUCUCUGGUCUGUAACUGACGCUGAGGCUCGAAAGCGUGGGGAGCAAACAGGAUUAGA
RNAcentral lists this ribosomal RNA (259 nucleotides) under uncultured prokaryote. Its description in RNAcentral is "partial 16S ribosomal RNA". It matches the Rfam family "Bacterial small subunit ribosomal RNA", at positions 524 to 782 of the family's 1533-position model. The record is from RNAcentral.